UACGUAGGUGGCAAGCGUUACUCGGAAUCACUAGGCGUAAAGCGCAGGUAGGCGGUUCGGUAAGUCUCUUGUGAAAGCUCCCGGCUCAACUGGGAGAGGUCAAGGGAAACUACCGGGCUAGAGUGUGGCAGAGGAAGCUGGAAUUCCCGGUGUAGCGGUGAAAUGCGUAGAGAUCGGGAGGAAUACCUAUGGCGAAGGCGGCUCACUGGGCCGGUCCUGACGCUGAGACGCGAAGGCGUGGGGAGCGAACGGG
RNAcentral lists this ribosomal RNA (253 nucleotides) under uncultured bacterium. Its description in RNAcentral is "partial 16S ribosomal RNA". It matches the Rfam family "Bacterial small subunit ribosomal RNA", at positions 524 to 776 of the family's 1533-position model. The record is from RNAcentral.